GUGCCAGCAGCCGCGGUAAUACGUAGGGAGCUAGCGUUGUCCGGAAUCAUUGGGCGUAAAGCGCGCGUAGGCGGCCCGGUAAGUCCGCUGUAAAAGUCAAAGGCUCAACCUUUGAAUGCCGGUGGAUACUGUCGGGCUAGAGUCCGGAAGAGGCGAGUGGAAUUCCUGGUGUAGCGGUGGAAUGCGCAGAUAUCAGGAGGAACACCAACGGCGAAGGCAGCUCGCUGGGACGGUACUGACGCUGAGGCGCGAAAGCGUGGGGAGCGAACAGGAUUAGAUACCCUGGUAGUCCACGCCGUAAACGAUGGGCACUAGGUGUGGGAGGUGUCGACUCCUUCCGUGCCGUCGCUAACGCACUAAGUGCCCCGCCUGGGGAGUACGGCCGCAAGGCUAAAACUCAAAGGAAUUGACGGGA
RNAcentral lists this ribosomal RNA (415 nucleotides) under uncultured Actinomycetes bacterium. RNAcentral's name for it is "bacterial SSU rRNA". It matches the Rfam family "Bacterial small subunit ribosomal RNA", at positions 505 to 918 of the family's 1533-position model. The record is from RNAcentral. Lineage: Bacteria; Bacillati; Actinomycetota; Actinomycetes.